This is a long non-coding RNA of Lolium rigidum, 298 nucleotides long. RefSeq lists it as uncharacterized. The transcript has 3 exons. The record is from RefSeq and is a predicted model, not a curated record. NCBI's taxonomy places the organism in Eukaryota, Viridiplantae, Streptophyta, Magnoliopsida, Poales, Poaceae.
UUUGUAACAGAAAUUAUGUUCGCCUUGUAGUCUGAUCUGUAUACAUUGGUUGGUAGCUUUGUUACACACAAUUCAGCAAGAACAGAUCCAUCAAAUCCCUCAAUUGAGCUGGGCCCUGAGUUCAAAAGGUUGGGAGUUCCUUGGUCGCUUCAAGUCGAUUCCUAGCAUUGUUGAGCUCAACAGCUUGAAGGUUUCCGGUGAUGUUUGGUUCGGUUCUGGCAUCGUGCUGAAGGUGGCUAUCACAGGAAAACCUGGUGUCAAGCUGGAAAUCCCAGAUGGCACAGUGCUCAAGAACAAG